Molecule: transfer RNA, 71 nt
Filed under: Stegodyphus mimosarum
Lineage: Eukaryota; Metazoa; Arthropoda; Arachnida; Araneae; Eresidae
Rfam family: tRNA
About the family: Transfer RNA (tRNA) molecules are approximately 80 nucleotides in length. Their secondary structure includes four short double-helical elements and three loops (D, anti-codon, and T loops).
Source: Rfam by way of RNAcentral
GCCUUCGUCAUGUAACGGUAGCACACUCGGCGCGUAUUCAAGAGGUCCAGGUUCGAAUCCCGGCGAGGGCA